UACGUAGGGUGCAAACGUUGUUCGGAAUCACUGGGCAUAAAGGGCGCGUAGGCGGUCCAUUAAGUCCUUUGUGAAAGCCCCCGGCUCAACCGGGGAAUUGCAGGGGAUACUGUUGGGCUUGAGUGCAGGAGGGGAGAGCGGAAUUCCUGGUGGAGCGGUGAAAUGCGUAGAUAUCAGGAGGAACGCCGGUGGCGAAAGCGGCUCUCUGGUCUGUUACUGACGCUGAGGCGCGAAAGCUAGGGGAGCAAACGGG
This 253-nucleotide ribosomal RNA is filed under the name uncultured bacterium. RNAcentral's name for it is "partial 16S ribosomal RNA". It matches the Rfam family "Bacterial small subunit ribosomal RNA", at positions 524 to 776 of the family's 1533-position model. The record is from RNAcentral.